Molecule: ribosomal RNA, 301 nt
Filed under: uncultured bacterium
Lineage: Bacteria
Description: partial 16S ribosomal RNA
Rfam family: Bacterial small subunit ribosomal RNA
Source: RNAcentral
CAGUCGCCGCGGUAAAACGUAGGUGGCAAGCGUUGUCCGGAAUUAUUGGGCGUAAAGGGCUCGCAGGCGGUUUCUUAAGUCUGAUGUGAAAGCCCCCGGCUCAACCGGGGAGGGUCAUUGGAAACUGGGAAACUUGAGUGCAGAAGAGGAGAGUGGAAUUCUACGUGUAGCGGUGAAAUGCGUAGAGAUGUGGAGGAACACCAGUGGCGAAGGCGACUCUCUGGUCUGUAACUGACGCUGAGGAGCGAAAGCGUGGGGAGCGAACAGGAUUAGAUACCCCGGUAGUCCCUGUCUCUUAUAA